RNAcentral lists this transfer RNA (72 nucleotides) under Camelus bactrianus (Bactrian camel). It matches the Rfam family "tRNA". Rfam says of the family: Transfer RNA (tRNA) molecules are approximately 80 nucleotides in length. Their secondary structure includes four short double-helical elements and three loops (D, anti-codon, and T loops). Further hydrogen bonds mediate the characteristic L-shaped molecular structure. tRNAs have two regions of fundamental functional importance: the anti-codon, which is responsible for specific mRNA codon recognition, and the 3' end, to which the tRNAs corresponding amino acid is attached (by aminoacyl-tRNA synthetases). tRNAs cope with the degeneracy of the genetic code in two manners: having more than one tRNA (with a specific anti-codon) for a particular amino acid; and 'wobble' base-pairing, i.e. permitting non-standard base-pairing at the 3rd anti-codon position. Lineage: Eukaryota; Metazoa; Chordata; Mammalia; Artiodactyla; Camelidae. RNAcentral also lists the same sequence under 2 other names. The record is from Rfam by way of RNAcentral.
GGGAGUAUAGCUCAGUGGUAGAGCACGUGCAUAGCAUGCACAAGGUCCUGGGUUCAAUCCCCAGUACCGCCA